Molecule: long non-coding RNA, 229 nt
Organism: Liolophura sinensis
Lineage: Eukaryota; Metazoa; Mollusca; Polyplacophora; Chitonida; Chitonidae
Exons: 2
Source: RefSeq, a predicted model, not a curated record
UGCCCUUGGCUGCCCAGUCGAACGUCAGGGAAAGUCGAGUUUGAAUUCACCGAAGUUUUGAGAAGGGAUUAUCUGAAAGACCAAAUAUGAGUUUAAUUUCUAGAUUUAUUGGGCCAAGACAUGUGCAAAUGGCCCAAAAUUGGCUUUCAACAGCAGGAUUUUUCGGAGCAAGUGCAACAGGUGUUUUCCUGUAUCUGACAGACUGGAAAGUUGUUGUGGCCAAUCUGCC